UUUAGUCCCUCUCUCCUAAACUUUGUUUAAAGUUCACCACUAUACAUACCAAUUAUAGUUAGUUGAUGAUGUGGCAUGGAUGCAUAAAUGCAUCCUUGGUUUCAAAUUUAGAACCAAGGAUGCAUAUAUGCAUAUUUGCAUCCAAGUAUAGAACCCCAUUGGAGUUGAGAUUUUUAGCAUUUGAUUUCAAAUUAUAGAAAUGGCACCACUUAUAACAUUGCAUUGGACUUGCUCUUAC
RNAcentral lists this long non-coding RNA (238 nucleotides) under Daucus carota (carrot). RNAcentral describes it as "long non-coding RNA (DCAR_LNC001889)". Lineage: Eukaryota; Viridiplantae; Streptophyta; Magnoliopsida; Apiales; Apiaceae. The record is from RNAcentral.